This 224-nucleotide unclassified non-coding RNA is filed under the name Hevea brasiliensis (rubber tree). The record is from RNAcentral. Lineage: Eukaryota; Viridiplantae; Streptophyta; Magnoliopsida; Malpighiales; Euphorbiaceae.
GUGGAGUUUAAUUCCACAAAGAAGAUGGUGGACAGUAUGGACAGAAAGAAACAGUAGAAAUUUUGAAGAUCCAGUUCCAUUCAUAAAGUUAAAUGCAACUGUAUUGUAGCUUUAUUUAUUUUUUGGUGUAAAGAAUCAGGCCUAGAGGAUUCAGAAGUCAGAACAGUUUAUAGAAUUCUUCGGAUCUGCUUAAGUAUUUAAUUUUUCAGUUUGUAAGGUCCCUG